UUAAUAGAUGUGCUUCAUCACAGUAUAAUACAUUGACAUGUAUUGCUAUUGUUCAAGCUCUUCUCCAGAAAUAACCUUUCUAUUCUAUACUGUUCUAUUUUAUUAUAUUAUUUUCUAUUCUAUUUGAUUAUGCUAUUUUUUUCUAUUCUAUUCAAUUGUUCUUUUCUAUUCUAUUUGAUUGGGGCUGGUGUGUUUUCUCAUCCAUCAGGGUGAACCAGGACAUCCCGGAGAGCCCGGUCUCAGAGGGGAGACAGGUCUGCCUGGACAAAGGGGUCCUGAUGGAAAACCAGGAUCUCCAGGAACGGGAGGGUCUGGGUCAGGGAGAGAUGGUCUGGAUGGGUUACCAGGAAAACCUGGAUCCAAGGUUUGGACACCUCAUUCCCUCACUUCCUUUCACAUCUGUUGUUGUUUUUCUAAUGUGAACACACACAAACAUACACGUACAUAGACUAGAUGUAUUGUUGUAGUUUGUCAGCAUAACAGAACCAUUAUCACAGUAAGAGUUCACAUUGACAAAAUUGGGUGUUGAUCGUUCAAUCCAUAAAAAGUUGUAGCAGAUAAUCAAGGUGUUGUGCUUUGAAUGGUUUCCUGUCUGCAGGGUGACCCAGGAAAGACAGGCGAGCCAGGAACGGUGAGUGCAGUAUUCAUACCCUUUGAAUAAACACAUUUUGCUCUGAUUCCUUUAAUCAGAGGAUAACUGCAGUCCUACAGAGCUACAGGGUGUGUUUAAAGCCCAGCUCUGAUAAACCUGAUUAAACCAAUUGUGGUUUAAAUUAAAGGCCGUUGUUAGCUGAUGAUCAGUUGAUUCAGUGAGUGUUACUGCUUGGUGAGACAAACCCCUGCAUUGGCUGUGGUUCUCUAGGACUACAGCAGUUUCCCUCUUGCAUUACACUACAUUACAUUGAUUGAUGAUGUGCAUGGACUAACCAAGUACUUCAGAAGAUGUUUUGGGUUACGUUGGGAGUAGACAGUCAAGCUAGCUCACAAUGUUUUUCUAAGUUAUAUUCUUCAAGAAUCAAACAGUAGGUAUUAUUCAUUUAAAUGAUCAAAAACCAUACAGUUGGUGGUGUGACUUUCAUAAUUUACACGUUUAAGGCUUCUGAUGAGAAAGCCUUCUGCUGUGCAUAGUAUGUGGACUUCUUUCAGCAGGAACUUGUCACAGGUUCACCUACUGUAUAGGGGAUUGGUGAUUACAGCCUAUUCAUUGAACAUUAUGUACUAGCAAUGUUGUACUAGGUUGAUGAUUGUUAGUCAUCCAUGAGUCAUUUAACAAUAUCAUAAUGUAUACAGAGGGCAAGGAACCCCACUUAUAGAUGGGAAACGUGUGUGUGUGUGUGUGCGUGUGUGUGUGUGUGCGUGCGUGUGUGUGCAUGCGAGUGUGUGUGCAUCCGUGCGUGUGUGUGUGUGUGCGUGUGCAUGUGUGCGUGCCUGUGUGUGUCGGUCUGAGCAGAGGGGAGAGAAAGGAGACCAAG
Long non-coding RNA from Oncorhynchus mykiss (rainbow trout), 1472 nucleotides. The record is from Ensembl. Lineage: Eukaryota; Metazoa; Chordata; Actinopteri; Salmoniformes; Salmonidae.